This is a long non-coding RNA of Herpailurus yagouaroundi (jaguarundi), 1485 nucleotides long. RefSeq lists it as uncharacterized. NCBI's taxonomy places the organism in Eukaryota, Metazoa, Chordata, Mammalia, Carnivora, Felidae. The transcript is spliced from 4 exons. The record is from RefSeq and is a predicted model, not a curated record.
GGAAUUCAUUGGCAAGAUACCGAAACAUGUCAUGGAAUCCGUGAGAAAGAAGGGCAAGACCAAAGAACCGUGAGGAUACUCUGCUUUUCUGUCUGGAGGCUGGCUUCUGUCCUUCAGCAGGGACUGAAUCUCAUAUCCAAAUUCUCAGGAGAAAGAACGUGGCUUGAGAUGUCAAACCAGGGUGUUGGAGAAGGAACAGGCUGCUGUGGCUGGACCCAGCCCUUCGUGUGGAAAGGACAGUUCCCAGAAUGGAGACAGUAGCUGGGAAAAGGAGGCCUACAACUGGAAACCACACCAAUGAGGGAAGGGAGAAAUUUUUUACCAAACUCAAGUCUUGGGAAUCCCUCUGUUCACUCUGUAACUAUCUAUUCCAUCUAUGCAAAGGGCCAAAUCCAGCUUCUCGUGUGUAGAGAAGAAAGCGACCCACUAGGGAGCUCUCAGAAUCUGCCCUCUGAGCCCAUCCUUGCCCCUUCUGGACAUCGAGCUGCCUUGAUUAGGAAAAUGCACCCGUGGAGAGGGGCAGACAUCUAGCAAGACUGUGCUUCUCCAGGUAUUUUCCACUAAAUGGAAUCUGGCUCCUUAGAGAAAUGGUGGACUCCAGGUCUGAGGAAAGAAAUAUACAAGAAAGCAAUCAAAAGAACACUAGGGUCAUCAUCAAAGGAUUCAGGAACCACCUUGAAGAGACUCUCAGUGGCUAAAGAUGGGUCCAUUUUAGCGUCUAGAAGGAUGAUAAUGGCAAUUAGUUGUAACAUUUCAACUGUUUGUCAAAUGAUACGAGAAAAAUAAUUAGUCACCACUAAAACCAACUCAUUAUUUUGAAAAAUGAUAAACAGAGGGACGGAAAGAAACCGUCUUGUUUUCGCUAAGAAAUUAUACCACUGAAAAUCAAGUAGCAGAUGAGGAGGUUUUUUUCAUUAUAGAAAUAUCCUAGAUAACAAAUAGAAGGGAUGAUAAAAUUAGAAUACCAUCAUUUUGCCACCUUGGAUAAAGUAGGAUCAAGGCAUGAGCUUCAGUGGUUGCUAACAUCACAAAAAAGAGACACUAAACUAUCACUAUCUUGCUUUGAAAGAGAUAACCUGAAUCUGAUCAAACUGCUAGAAUAGAUUAAGCUACCAGCUAUCAAUUAUAAAAAAAAUACAAGAGCCCAGGAAUAUGUUCAAACAGACCUCAAGAGAAGCAGUCAGCAAAAUGUAAGGUAUGGAAAACUCUAGAUGAAAUUUUUUUUUAAAAACAAAUACAUCUCAACAAUAAGGGAAUGAAAUAGGGGUAAGUUUACAGAUUAAAAAAGACUUAAAAGAUGUAUCAACUAUCACAACAUGUGACCUUAUUUGUAUCCUGAUUUAAGUAAACUCAAACAAAAAGCUGUUUAUGCCACUUAUGAAGACAUUUGAACACUGAUUAGACAUUAAGGAAUUAUUGUAAAAUAUUUUAGAUAUGAUAACUGGUAUUUUGUCUAUGUUAAAAAUAAAGAGUCCUCUUCUUUUA